GCCUGGCUACCUCAGUUGGUAGAGCAUGCGACUCUUGAUUUCAAGGUCAUGAGUUCAAGUCCCUUGUUGGGCG
Molecule: transfer RNA, 73 nt
Filed under: Ailuropoda melanoleuca (giant panda)
Lineage: Eukaryota; Metazoa; Chordata; Mammalia; Carnivora; Ursidae
Rfam family: tRNA
About the family: Transfer RNA (tRNA) molecules are approximately 80 nucleotides in length. Their secondary structure includes four short double-helical elements and three loops (D, anti-codon, and T loops).
Source: Rfam by way of RNAcentral